This 406-nucleotide ribosomal RNA is filed under the name uncultured bacterium. RNAcentral describes it as "partial 16S ribosomal RNA". It matches the Rfam family "Bacterial small subunit ribosomal RNA", at positions 28 to 526 of the family's 1533-position model. The record is from RNAcentral.
GACGAACGCUGGCGGCGUGCUUAACAAAUGUAAGUCGAACGAGUGGAGAACGGGUAAGUAAUACGUGAGUAACCUGCCCUCUUUUUGGGAUAAGCAUUGGAAAAGGGGUCUAAUACCGGAUAAAGGGGGAUGGGCUCGCGUCCUCUCAGCGUGUUGGUGUGGGGCUGGACUACCACGGCGGUGAAGGUUAGCCGCCAGGAGAGGGUGGCCGGCCACAUUGGGAAUGAGAUACGGCCCAGACUCCUACUGGAGGCAGCAGUGUGGGAUAUUGCACAAUGGGCGAAAGCCUGAUGCAGCGAUGCCGCGUGGGGGAUGAAGGCUUUCGGGUUGUAAACCUCUUUCGCGAGCGAACGGGUAGGUGGAGAAGAAGCGCCGGCUAACUACGUGCCAGCCGCCGCGGUAAUAC